This is a non-coding RNA of Pelobates cultripes (western spadefoot toad), 261 nucleotides long. Lineage: Eukaryota; Metazoa; Chordata; Amphibia; Anura; Pelobatidae. The record is from the annotation of a GenBank genome assembly.
CAGACAUCCCAAGAAUAUUGUUGAACUGAAACAGUUCUGUAAAGAGGAAUGGUCAAGAAUUACUCCUGACCAGGGGCGGACUGACCACUCGGGCAUAUCGGUCAUGGACCGAGGGCCCGAGGCAGUCAGGGGCCCAGCAGCACAGCCAUGCUCCAGCUGGAGAGAUCAAAGAUCUCUCCAACUGGAACGGCAAAAUAAUAAAAUAAAACUAUUUAAUUGAUAGGUUGUGGGGCCCCUGAUGCAGCACGGGGCCCCACAACC